CCAGAAUGUCAUCAAAAUGCUCUCCUUGACGUUAGUUUACUAUGGAAACCAGGAAGUAAUAAUAUACCCUCAGAGGCAGAGUGUUGAUCUCCAUCUCAUUCGGUCACACCCACCCAAUCCAGGAAAUGAAUGGAGGAAGGGCACCGCGGACACAGCACCCACUUCCCGUCAGCCAUUCACACCAGAGACCAGAGACAGAGAGCUGCCGUCUGAUAAGGGAGGGCAGAGAGCGGGGUGCGUUCGUGAUGCAUGUCUUCAACUCAGAGAGACGCUCUCAAACAAGGACGUGGGUUGGCCUCCCAGCUCUGCCACUUCUCAGCUGUGGGGUGUGCACCUUGUGCCCUAACAUCUCCGAUCCCUUGUCUCCAUUUGUCCAAAAGAACUGUAAGUGUGUCUACUCUGGAAGGGUUGAGGACAGAGGAAAAAAGGUCUGCGGCAGUUCCCCAGUGGUGGGUGAUUUUGCAAGCCCUAGGCAGUGGUCCCUGGCCCUACUGGGACUGGUGCGUGCUUCCCCUCAGAUCAAUGAAGAAGCAGCUGGAGAAAUCCAGCCCUUCUGAGCUCCACUCGGGUGGGCGCGAGGCUGGCAAGCACGAGAAACAAUGCUGCACGUUCCAGUAUGUGUUUUCCCCUCAAAAGCAGAUUUAUUUUUUAAGCCAUGUUUAUUAGUGAGAAUAAACGGGCUUCGUGGGAAGGUUCAAUGGAAAUAUUUAGGAAUUUGUCGCUUAAGCCUUUUCAGAAUACUUCAAGGUUUUGAGACUUAGUCUAAUAACUGUUGUGCUUUUCUAAUUAAAAGUUGCUUAUCCAAGUGAAAUUCAACUGAACCUGAAAUUAAGCCCGUGAAGGACGUCCUUCAGUGGCAUGAAGUCAAUUCACCGUGUUGUGAACUCAGCCCAUCUCGGCACCUACAUGAGGUUUUCAUUGGUCCCCAGGGAAAACCAGCACCCACAGAGUGUGGGCUCCUCACUCCCACCUCCCUGUAAACCGCUGCCACCAUGAACCUGCUUUCUAAGACAACUCGGGUUUCCAACACUAAUUUUUGGGCCUGCCUCUCCGUACAUUUCAAUGGGCUCAGACACGAUGUGACCUUUGGUGUCUGGCUCAUUUCCUUUGAAAUCAUUUCCAGGUCCAUCCAAGUUAGAACGUGCAUCCAGACUUCACUCCUCUCGAAGGCUGCCCAACCUUGUGUUGUGGGAUAGACCACUGCUGGCGAUCCUGCCACGCUGAGGUGACACUUGGGAUGCUUCCUUUGGAAGCACCAGUGAACAUUCAGUUACCUGUAUGUCCUUGAGUGCCUCUCUCACCUUGGGUGACAUGCACCAGGAGUGAGUGUUUGUCGACAUUUUUCACUGUGACCAAUCGAUGCGAUGAGAACAAUCAUAGGAGAGAAAGUUUAUUUUGGCUCACAGUUUCAGAGGUCUCAGUCCUGAGUCGACCGACUCCCUUGGUCUGGGCCAGAGGUGAUACAGAACACCAGGGUGGAAGGGAAGUGGCAGAGGAAAGCUGCUGGCCUCGUGGUGGCCGGGAAGCAGGGUGAGAGGAUUGGGAAGGGGUACAGGGAAGAACAACCCUUCCAGGUGACCCCCUCCUCCAGCCACACCCCACCUGUCUACAGAGACCCAGACAGUCCUUUCAAACUCGGACGGACCGGUUGGGGCUGCAGCUCUCACCAUCCAAUUGUUCCUCCUUCUGCGUGAACACGGGAGGUUUGAAGAGACACCUCACAUCCACACCAUCACAGAAUGCAAGUACUGUGUCAUGAUGCUUGGACCAUGAUGACUUCCCUCGUUUUCGCUGCCGAGAACUCCUCCUAGUGCUUCAGGAGCCAACCUCAGUUCUCCAUCUACUGAGAUAGUCACCCCAAAGCCCCACCCUCCCCUCAAGUUCUGAGGCUACUGCUAGAAAAACAAAGCAUGCGGCAGGCAUUUGGGCUGUCAAACAGCUUUCACAGAUGUCCACACCACAGUCUUCUAAAAGAGCGAGUGUUUGGUCCUGCAUCCAGGAGUAACACGCCAAGGUGGUGGGAGGUGAAUCUUUGCACGUGUUUGCCACACCCAUAGAAGGGGAAGCAUAGAGAAUCUUCAGCGAGGACCAGAUUAGGAAACUCUACCCAAUCAGAGCAGGACACAGCUACAUUGGUAGCUCAGGACACGACAGGGUUGUUCCCGUCCGUCAUUGCUCACCCAACACAUGGCACGCUGCUCCUAAACUGUGGAACAAUGGGCGGCGAAUUGCACUGCCUUUGAAGAAUAGAUUUUUGUAACAUUUUA
Ictidomys tridecemlineatus (thirteen-lined ground squirrel) is the source of this 2267-nucleotide non-coding RNA. NCBI's taxonomy places the organism in Eukaryota, Metazoa, Chordata, Mammalia, Rodentia, Sciuridae. The record is from RefSeq and is a predicted model, not a curated record.